Psammomys obesus (fat sand rat) is the source of this 584-nucleotide long non-coding RNA. RefSeq lists it as uncharacterized. The record is from RefSeq and is a predicted model, not a curated record. Lineage: Eukaryota; Metazoa; Chordata; Mammalia; Rodentia; Muridae. The transcript has 3 exons.
GGGCUUCCGUGUUGCCUAGGGUUCACUGGGGCGAGUGAAAAGCAAGGAAUCCUUGGGUUGGCAUCACAGGCUCAGUCUUGCGUAUGUUGGCCAGGGCUUUCUCACAGCUCCUGGAACGGACCUCAGACAUGCAUCACGUGGCCCUCUGAAAACAUGGAGCUUAUUGCUCCGAAGCCAACAGGAGAGCUUCUUCCAAUCCUGCUGCUGCUGCUCUUACAGCUGCUUACAACAGCUAUUAUUGUUGCUAGAGUCUUAUAUUCAAUGUGAAACCAUAGUUGAAAUGAUCCCACCACUUUUGCUGUAUCACAUAAAUAAAAGGAGGGAAAUCCCAUUAGACUCCCAAGCCCUGUCUGUACUCAGGGAGAGGUUAUAAUCCAGUGGUUCAGGAAUCUUAGAGUGAUUUUUAGGUCUUGUCAACCCUGGCUCUUGAAUGGGUAACUGACAACAGGUGAAAUCUUUCUUAACCAAUUUUUCACUUUUUUUUCUUUGACAUUCUCUUGAGAACAGCCACUAGUUUAUUAUUGUGCAUAGAAAGUGUGAAUCUACAAGGACACCUAUGUCUCAAGAUACACCUGGGAGCAUAU